UACGUAGGUGGCAAGCGUUAUCCGGAUUUAUUGGGCGUAAAGAGAACGCAGGCGGUCUUUUAAGUCUGAUGUGAAAGCCUUCGGCUUAACCGGAGUAGUGCAUUGGAAACUGGGAGACUUGAGUGCAGAAGAGGAGAGUGGAACUCCAUGUGUAGCGGUGAAAUGCGUAGAUAUAUGGAAGAACACCGGUGGCGAAAGCGGCUCUCUGGCCUGUAACUGACACUGAGGCUCGAAAGCGUGGGGAGCAAACAGG
This 253-nucleotide ribosomal RNA is filed under the name uncultured bacterium. RNAcentral describes it as "partial 16S ribosomal RNA". It matches the Rfam family "Bacterial small subunit ribosomal RNA", at positions 524 to 776 of the family's 1533-position model. The record is from RNAcentral.